Molecule: long non-coding RNA, 1073 nt
Organism: Diachasma alloeum
Lineage: Eukaryota; Metazoa; Arthropoda; Insecta; Hymenoptera; Braconidae
Exons: 3
Source: RefSeq, a predicted model, not a curated record
GAUUCGUUAAUUCUAGAAGAGCAACAAUAUAUACAAUAGACAUAACCUCUAGGAAGAUUCUUUGAUUAAAAGAGAUAUGAAACUCACAUUUGAUGACUUGACUGAAAUAAAAUUAAUAAAUGUAAUUGACAAAUAGUGUUUUAUCAUCACUUACCCAUAUUUUCAGUUAAAUGGUGAUGAGAGAAAGAUCGAGGAGGACUCUGGUCAAUAAAACAAUCAAUUAACGAGUUACGUAAAACACGACGCUGAGCACACACCGCACACACACAUAGGAACAGGAAUGGUGUCAGUAACCGGCCGGUACUGCUUGACCAAUCGCGAACACCGUAUGCAACGACACGUGGAGAAUUAUGUAGAUGAGUCUUUUCACUCUCUCUUUGCAAUUGAAUCAUGAGAAAUAAACGUUAAAAUUAUUAUCCAUCAGAACUGUGGCUCAAUGCUACACAAGUGCAGAAAAAAAGGAUGAAUUUGAUCGACAAUUUUUACAAGUGUUUUGACAAAAUAUCAGAUUCACAAAAUCAAAAAAUAAGACAUUGCAGACAGAAUUCGCUGGAGUGUUCCACAGACACACAUGCAUAGCUCUGAAUUGAUGUGAUGGGACUGUGGAACCAUCAAAUAAAAGAACGAGUACUUGCAUACGGCAUGUUAUCUGCCAGUUCAGACAUUCACUCGUGUAGUACCUGUACACCCCAGCAGAUCGUUCCGAAAUAGCUUCAAGUGUAAUUAAUCAAAGUUGCUGAUUAUUGUUUAGUGUUUACUUCGUUUAUCAGAUUUUAAACUUCAACAAUCAUCACCACGAAAACUGCAAGAUGUUCCCAUCUGAAUCAUCCAGUUCAGAAGCUGGUAGCAAUGGAGAACGCAGUGCUGCAGCGCAAUCUGCAUUGGAGAAAAGCACUGCUAAUGGUCAAAGGAUCUGGAUGAAAUUUAAUGCAUUGGAGAUGAACGUGAAGGAAGCAAUCGUGAGGAUGAAACAGUUCAACAAGAACUUGACGAAGACCAGAAACUUCCUGAAUGAAUUGAUGAUACACACAUGAAUGGAAUAAAAGUCAACAUUAUAUAUUUAAAAGUUUCAA